This 472-nucleotide ribosomal RNA is filed under the name fungal sp. S1 ZLY-2010. RNAcentral describes it as "eukaryotic LSU rRNA". The stretch from base 133 to 286 matches the Rfam family "5.8S ribosomal RNA". Lineage: Eukaryota; Fungi. The record is from RNAcentral.
AUUGUUUUUAUCACCCUUGUCUUUUGCGCACUUGUUGUUUCCUGGGCGGGUUCGCCCGCCACCAGGACCACACCAUAAACCUUUUUUAUGCAGUUGCAAUCAGCGUCAGUAUAACUAAUGUAAAUCAUUUACAACUUUCAACAACGGAUCUCUUGGUUCUGGCAUCGAUGAAGAACGCAGCGAAAUGCGAUACGUAGUGUGAAUUGCAGAAUUCAGUGAAUCAUCGAAUCUUUGAACGCACAUUGCGCCCUUUGGUAUUCCAAAGGGCAUGCCUGUUCGAGCGUCAUUUGUACCCUCAAGCUUUGCUUGGUGUUGGGCGUCUUUUUGUCUUUGGCUUUGCCCCAAGACUCGCCUUAAAACGAUUGGCAGCCGGCCUACUGGUUUCGCAGCGCAGCACAUUUUUGCGCUUGCAAUCAGCAAAAGAGGACGGCACUCCAUCAAGACUACAUUUUUUUACGUUUGACCUCGGAUC